UUGGCAUAAUAUCACCAUCAUUGUUCCUACAUGGCAGAUUUUUGCCUCCCAUUUUCACCAAAGUCUUUUCCUUCUCUCUCUCCAUUUACGUUUUUCCAGCUCUUUUCUGCGCAAGAUUAAGUCAACACCAGAAGCCAAACGACUUUUAGAUUUUGAUUCUCUAUGGUAGAGAUUUAAUUUUUAAACGGCUCUUUUGAAGACCAAAAUCCCAAUCUGUGACCUCUCUGAUUUUGGAUUCAAAUUUCAAAUCAAAAACUCAAGUUCCAUCUAUAAAUCUUCCCCAAAGUUUUCAGCCGAAACCAAGCUGGAACACAGGGAAAUCCAGGCUUGAAUUAUCAAAAAUCUCUCAACUCAACUGAAUCUUCCAUCUUAAUCUUUGUUUUAGCAUUUAACAAUCUGAUACUCAAAAGUCCUUCAAUUUUGUCGCUCAACUCUCCAGCCAAAGGAUCAGGUCGGAAUCCCUAAAAAAUUCAGUUUAUAUCACACUCUGUUUAUUCUUUUAAUCUCAAGCUUUACAAUAUGUGGAAAACUCCUCAAUAUUUAGUCUUCAUUAUUAUAUUCUCCACGACUAAGGAGUGUAGAUCUAACCUUUAAAGCUCCUAGUUCACUGCCCCACAACAGAGCCGAAGAGUUCUACUUUGAGACUCAACGACGCCGAUGCCGCAUAUCCUCAAUCACGUUCAGCUUCUACACUUCUUGAAAGCAAGUCAUAAAAAUAUUCACUCCUCUGUUUGAGAGCCGAACAUGGCCGUCUAGCAGAUCCUCUGCUGUCUUAUUUUUGCUUAUGGUUGAUGACUAACAUUUUACUGUGUGGUUAUCUUUUAAUAUCAGUUGUGUCAUCUAUUUAAGUUGUGCGAUUAACUUUAAAACCAAGUGAUAGUAUGUGAUUACUCACUACGCUCGCAUUUGAUCACGUAAGAUCUUCACCUCUAGUUAACAAUGAAUUACUAACUCUUAAAGAUCA
Molecule: long non-coding RNA, 964 nt
Organism: Nicotiana tabacum (common tobacco)
Lineage: Eukaryota; Viridiplantae; Streptophyta; Magnoliopsida; Solanales; Solanaceae
Source: RefSeq, a predicted model, not a curated record